This 301-nucleotide ribosomal RNA is filed under the name uncultured bacterium. Its description in RNAcentral is "partial 16S ribosomal RNA". It matches the Rfam family "Bacterial small subunit ribosomal RNA", at positions 509 to 807 of the family's 1533-position model. The record is from RNAcentral.
CAGCAGCCACGGUAAUACGUAGGUGGCAAGCGCUGUCCGGAAUUAUUGGGCGUAAAGGGCUCGCAGGCGGUUUCUUAAGUCUGAUGUGAAAGCCCCCGGCUCAACCGGGGAGGGUCAUUGGAAACUGGGAAACUUGAGUGCAGAAGAGGAGAGUGGAAUUCCACGUGUAGCGGUGAAAUGCGUAGAGAUGUGGAGGAACACCAGUGGCGAAGGCGACUCUCUGGUCUGUAACUGACGCUGAGGAGCGAAAGCGUGGGGAGCGAACAGGAUUAGAUACCCCUGUAGUCCCUGUCUCUUAUAC